UGGGGAAUUUUGGACAAUGGGCGAAAGCCUGAUCCAGCAAUGCCGCGUGUGUGAAGAAGGCCUUCGGGUUGUAAAGCACUUUUGUCCGGAAAGAAAUCCUUGGCUCUAAUACAGUCGGGGGAUGACGGUACCGGAAGAAUAAGCACCGGCUAACUACGUGCCAGCAGCCGCGGUAAUACGUAGGGUGCAAGCGUUAAUCGGAAUUACUGGGCGUAAAGCGUGCGCAGGCGGUUUGCUAAGACCGAUGUGAAAUCCCCGGGCUCAACCUGGGAACUGCAUUGGUGACUGGCAGGCUAGAGUAUGGCAGAGGGGGGUAGAAUUCCACGUGUAGCAGUGAAAUGCGUAGAGAUGUGGAGGAAUACCGAUGGCGAAAGGCAGCCCCCUGGGCCAAAUACUGACGCUCAUGCACGAAAGCGUGGGGAGCAAAACAGGAUUAGAUACCCUGGUAGUCCACGCCCUAAAACGAUGUCAACUAGUUGUUGGGGAUUCAUUUCCUUAGUAACGUAGCUAACGCGUGAAGUUGACCGCCUGGGGGAGUACGGUCGCAAGAUUAAAAACUUAAAUGAAUUGACGGGGUCAUAGCUG
This 585-nucleotide ribosomal RNA is filed under the name uncultured bacterium. RNAcentral's name for it is "partial 16S ribosomal RNA". It matches the Rfam family "Bacterial small subunit ribosomal RNA", at positions 355 to 932 of the family's 1533-position model. The record is from RNAcentral.